This 480-nucleotide ribosomal RNA is filed under the name Triticum aestivum (bread wheat). RNAcentral describes it as "partial small subunit ribosomal RNA". The record is from RNAcentral. Lineage: Eukaryota; Viridiplantae; Streptophyta; Magnoliopsida; Poales; Poaceae.
AUGGACGAGGAGGGCAUGGAGUUUCUGCUUGAUGCGGUUGACAGGUUUCCCGUGCGGGAGGAGUUUGCUGAUAACAUUGAACAGCCAGAUCCGGUUCCUCUUCUGUAUUUGUUACAGAACGGGGGCGACGGAGAGCAAGGUGCUAUUGCAGCGAACAGUGGUUUUGGGGUGGCUCAGUUGGCCGGUGGAGAUGUCUCGCCCGACGAGCAGGGCGAUGCCAGGAGACGGCGAGCUUCGUCUCCGACGAGGUCUGCUCAGUCAACUGGCCGAGUUAAUCCAGAGGCCCCCGGCUGGACUAAAAGGUUGCGUCUUGGGAGUGCGCCACCAGACCGUGUGCCAUGCCCAUCCAGGAUGAUUGCUCUGGAGUUAACAAUCUGCAAAUAUGCGGAGCAACCGGACAAGAGCGUGAUGCGGCCUGAAUUAGGCCUCAGCUUUGACUCGUUGGAUGAGGCAUACGACUUCUACAAUCUUUAUUCCUAG